GAUGAACGCUGGCGGCGUGCCUAAUACAUGCAAGUCGAGCGAACUGAUUAGAAGCUUGCUUCUAUGACGUUAGCGGCGGACGGGUGAGUAACACGUGGGCAACCUGCCUGUAGGACUAGGAUAACUUCGGGCAACCGAAGCUAAUACCGGAUAGAAUCUUCUCCUUCAUGGGAGAUGAUUGAAAGAUGGUUUCGGCUAUCACUUACAGAUGGGCCCGCGGUGCAUUAGCUAGUUGGUGAGGGAACGGCUCACCAAGGCAACGAUGCAUAGCCGACAUGAGAGGGUGAUCGGCCACACUGGGACUGAGACACGGCCCAGACUCCUACGGGAGGCAGCAGUAGGGAAUCUUCCGCAAUGGACGAAAGUCUGACGGAGCAACGCCGCGUGAGUGAUGAAGGCUUUCGGGUCGUAAAACUCUGUUGUUAGGGAGGAACAAGUACGAGAGUAACUGCUCGUACCUUGACGGUACCUAACCAGAAAGCCACGGCUAACUACGUGCCAGCAGCCGCCGUAA
This 514-nucleotide ribosomal RNA is filed under the name uncultured bacterium. Its description in RNAcentral is "partial 16S ribosomal RNA". It matches the Rfam family "Bacterial small subunit ribosomal RNA", at positions 28 to 523 of the family's 1533-position model. The record is from RNAcentral.